AUUGAACGCUGGCGGCAGGCCUAACACAUGCAAGUCGAACGGUAACAGGAAGCAGCUUGCUGCUUUGCUGACGAGUGGCGGACGGGUGAGUAAUGUCUGGGAAACUGCCUGAUGGAGGGGGAUAACUACUGGAAACGGUAGCUAAUACCGCAUAACGUCGCAAGACCAAAGAGGGGGACCUUAGGGCCUCUUUCCAUCGGAUGUGCCCAGAUGGGAUUAGCUAGUAGGUGGGGUAACGGCUCACCUAGGCGACGAUCCCUAGCUGGUCUGAGAGGAUGACCAGCCACACUGGAACUGAGACACGGUCCAGACUCCUACGGGAGGCAGCAGUGGGGAAUCUUGCACAAUGGGCGAAAGCCUGAUGCAGCCAUGCCGCGUGUAUGAAGAAGGCCUUCGGGUUGUAAAGUACUUUCAGCGGGGAGGAAGGGAGUAAAGUUAAUACCUUUACUCAUUGACGUUACCCGCAGAAGAAGCACCGGCUAACUCCGUG
This 490-nucleotide ribosomal RNA is filed under the name uncultured bacterium. RNAcentral describes it as "partial 16S ribosomal RNA". It matches the Rfam family "Bacterial small subunit ribosomal RNA", at positions 30 to 507 of the family's 1533-position model. The record is from RNAcentral.